AUACUUUCGUGGUUCCUAACUGUGACGAUUGGGUCUUCAUGAUAAUGUAUAAGGCCUGCCUCCCUCUAACCUUUGUUAUGACACCAGUACAUUUCCCAUCCAAUG
Small nucleolar RNA from Otolemur garnettii (small-eared galago), 105 nucleotides. NCBI's taxonomy places the organism in Eukaryota, Metazoa, Chordata, Mammalia, Primates, Galagidae. The record is from Ensembl.